This is a long non-coding RNA of Dromaius novaehollandiae (emu), 2143 nucleotides long. RefSeq lists it as uncharacterized. Lineage: Eukaryota; Metazoa; Chordata; Aves; Casuariiformes; Dromaiidae. The transcript is spliced from 2 exons. The record is from RefSeq and is a predicted model, not a curated record.
GCAUGAACAGCGGAUUCUGCCGUGGGGUUUUCCAGACUCCCACUUGCACCUCCGGCUGCCUCCGCUUCCCUUUUACCUGCAAAACGCUCGGCGUCGGAGGCACCGGGCAGAGAGGCGGGUGAGCGCGGUCAGUCCACGCCCUGGCUUAGCAGCACGGCUGGGACCGGCAGGGACAACAAGCGAGGCCGCCGUGCAGAUGCGUCGAACACAGAGGGGCUGGCGGCAGACGGUCGCCGAGUUUUUCCCUUCGUGCUCCUCCGGCCUUGACCGGGGAGCUGCCGAUGGGGCCGGCGGGGCUGGCUCUGCUGCCUCCCGCGGCCCGCUGGCCUCCCGGCUUGCAUGCUCCCAGCGCUGGGCAAACACUGCUUGUCUGAGUUUCAUUGUCUGUGCUAUCUCUGCCCUCGCAGCGCGGUUAUCUGCAGCGCAUAUAACACGCCAGCUCCGCCGUGAAGCUGCCCGUGUUCAUGGCUUUGUCACGGAGGACUCUCUGCUGUGACCUUUCCAGCGUGGCGUUGGCAGUAGGAGCAGGAGUGGGACCGUGCCGCGCCGGCGGAUCAGGAGGGAGAAGGCAGCGAUGCAAACACCAAAAUUUCCAAGCGUCACGCUGCCGAAACACACCAUCUCUCCUUUCAAAAAGUCUGCUAAAUAAGGAUGCACUCUGCACCAUUUCGGGUGGAUCUUCUGCAGCGUGGUCGGACCCGUCCUGGCUGAAGGGGAAGAAGAGCCGGUGAGCGCUGCCCUCUCCCCUUUAGCUGGGCAGCCACCGAGGCUCUGGAGUGUCCUUCCCUGGAGAUGUCCAAAAGCCGUCUGGAGAUGGCAACUGGGCAACGUGCUCUAGGUGACCCUGCUUGAGCAGGGGGUUGGACGAGGCGAUCUCAGAGGUCCUUCCAGCCUCGGCCCUUCUGUGAAACCUCUUCCCCGGCAGCAGAGGGAAAGCGGGUGGUCAGAGAGCGCUGCUCGACCCCAGACUCCGCAGAAACGCCGCGCGAUUUCCAGGCCAUUGAGACUGAGGGUAUCACACCAGUCAGGGCACUUUUUCUCCUUUUUCCAUUCCUUUUCUGUUUUGUUUGUUUACACUGUUUGUUGCUGUUUCCUUUUAAAUAAUAAGCGCCCCGUUACCCAGCAGAGCCAGGAAAACCAAACUCGUGUGACCGAGACACGAAAGCCUGGUUCCUCUGCAGGACUUUUGGUGUGAAUCGCAGUGGCAUUUUGCUGCAGAGAGCUGCCAGGAGGAGGACCAGGCGGCAGCCUGCUUCAGCUGCGUCUGUGAUUCCUUCGUUAUGAUUCACCUUCCACAAAUAUCCUAAUAAACAAGCUUGCUGGCAGGAAGAUCCUGGCGAGAGGCAAAAGGCUGCAAAAAGUCACUGAACUCUCGCUUUGAGCAGUAAAAGUCCUUCCUGACCGUCCGAUCGUCGAAGAUGGCCUGGCCUAAUUCGGGAAAGCGAAGCGAGGCCAGUCCCGCCGGCAAAGCGAGCACCACGCUUGCAGGCGCGGGAGAGGGCAGGCCGCACGCAUGCCGCGGCCCAGCAGCAGCUUUUAGGGAAGACCGGAAAGAAAAUGCUCCAUAGCAGACACUUGGAGGGAAAAAAAUGUUUGGAGCCAAGUCAGGAACAGAAACAAGCCCACAGCAGAGAAAUCCUUCUCUCUCUCGGGGACAGACCCCAAGGAGCUUUUGCACGUAACGGGGUUGUGCACAGCAGUGUCCGGCCUCGGCAGCCGCCUCUCCCGACCCGCAGCCCCGUCCCACCACAAAUAUUCACACCGCUCGCUUGGCACGUCUCCGGGGAAUGCAUAUUUUUUCCCUCUGCACGCUUUAUGAAGUCUUACUCAGAGAAGCAUCUUUAAAUGCCGUUCCAAAAUUCUCUUUAUUUUUGCUGAUCCUGAAAUUUGGAAGAAGACGACAAUGCUGCUACGACUUUGUCACUGCAACAGUGAUUUCUCACUCAUCAGUCGUUUCUGCAGCCUCUUCUUUCUUGGUAGAUUGUACUUUCGUAAGAAGGCAACUAAUUUCCCUGACUGUAUAUCAGAGAAUUCAGUAGCUCCGUGGAUAUAUAGUGUUGUUUUUUACUUGUGCUGCAUUAAUAAAUCCCUAGAAUUUCUGUGCAUAUUAUAUAAAUCAAGGGAAAUAGCAUUUUUAUUGCAU